Unclassified non-coding RNA from Ictidomys tridecemlineatus (thirteen-lined ground squirrel), 124 nucleotides. The record is from Ensembl. NCBI's taxonomy places the organism in Eukaryota, Metazoa, Chordata, Mammalia, Rodentia, Sciuridae.
UGACCCCACGGCGCUAGCUAUCCUCGUGGCCUUCCAGGCCUGGCCGCUGUACGCCCGCCCACCAACCGCUUCCAACCACCCCAACAGCACAACCUCUUUGGGCGUUCCAACGCGGCGCCCCCUA